UCCCAUGGUGUCGAGAUGCAAAAAGCAGA
RNAcentral lists this non-coding RNA (29 nucleotides) under Mus musculus (house mouse). The record is from RNAcentral. Lineage: Eukaryota; Metazoa; Chordata; Mammalia; Rodentia; Muridae.